AAACUUAAAGGAAUUGACGGGGACCCGCACAAGCGGUGGAUGAUGUGGUUUAAUUCGACGCAACGCGAAAAACCUUACCUACCCUUGACAUGUCUGGAAUUUUGCAGAGAUGUGAAAGUGCUCGAAAGAGAACCAGAACACAGGUGCUGCAUGGCCGUCGUCAGCUCGUGUCGUGAGAUGUUGGGUUAAGUCCCGCAACGAGCGCAACCCUUGUCAUUAGUUGCUACGAAAGGGCACUCUAAUGAGACUGCCGGUGACAAACCGGAGGAAGGUGGGGAUGACGUCAGGUCAUCAUGGCCCUUAUGGGUAGGGCUACACACGUCAUACAAUGGCCGGUACAGAGGGCUGCCAACCCGCGAGGGGAGCCAAUCCCAGAAAACCGGUCGUAGUCCGGAUCGCAGUCUGCAACUCGACUGCGUGAAGUCGGAAUCGCUAGUAAUCGCGGAUCAGCUUGCCGCGGUGAAUACGUUCCCGGGUCUUGUACACACCGCCCGUCACACCAUGGGAGCGGGUUCUGCCAGAAGUAGUUAGCCUAACCGCAAGGAGGGCGAUUACCACGGCAGGGUUCGUGACUGGGGUGAAGUCGUAACAAGGUAGCCGUAUCGGAAGGUGCGGCUGGAUCACCUCCUUUCUG
RNAcentral lists this ribosomal RNA (634 nucleotides) under uncultured Comamonadaceae bacterium. RNAcentral's name for it is "bacterial SSU rRNA". It matches the Rfam family "Bacterial small subunit ribosomal RNA", at positions 897 to 1533 of the family's 1533-position model. Lineage: Bacteria; Pseudomonadati; Pseudomonadota; Betaproteobacteria; Burkholderiales; Comamonadaceae. The record is from RNAcentral.